AGGAUGGAACAGUUCGAUAUUUUCAAGCCUGGUACCCAUGCCAAGAUUGGGGGAACUCUUGUUGCCUUUGCUGGUGCAACACUCAUGACCCUCUACAAAGGCAUUGCUGUAAUUACAACUCACACUAAAAGCUCCCAUCAAACUGCAGCUACCUCAAAAUCAUCCACAGAUGCAGACUGGAUAAAGGGCUCCCUUGUCCUUAUUGUUGCAUAUAGUUCAUUAGCAGCAUUCUAUAUCUUACAGGUAGUGUUUUGAUCACAAGCAAUACUGUAUCACAUGUACAACUUUCUCUUAGAUUACAGUUACUUAAAAUACUCAUGUGCAGACAUCAACAAUCAAAAUGUAUCCAGCACCAAUCACUCUUACAUCACUGACCUGCUUAUCUGGGACACUGCUCUCAACAAUCAUGGCAGCAAUUCCAGAUCACAAAGCCUCUUCUUGGAAGUUAUCAUGGAACACAAUUCUUGCUCCUAUGUAUAGCGUAAGAAAUCGGUCACACGUCUUGAACUGUCUCAUGCCUAUGAUUUACUGUCUAUGAAAAUUAAUUUGAUGAGGUGAAAUGUUUGCAGGGAAUUGUGAUUUUUGGAAUCACUGUAUAUGUUCAGACCUUGGUAGUAAGUACAAAAGGCCCAGUUUUCAUGACAGCUUUUAGACCACUGGGGACCAUUUUUGUAGCUAUAAUGGGAGUAUUCCUCUUAGGAGAAGCUACAUACUUGGGAAGGUAUGUUUGUUGACAUGAUGUAUUGUUGAAUCAUUUUAUCUUGUGAGUUUUAAAUGUUUUCACUUUUCAGUGUUUUGGGAUCUUUGUUGGUAUUUCUUGGUUUGUAUGCAACUCUUUGGGGAAAGAAAAAAGAGAUGGAGAAGAAGUCAAUUGAUCAUGGUAUAUCUCAGCAAGCUCAUGAGCUCAAUCUAGAAAGGUAAAAGAGAAAAUAAUCUCCCUAUUGAAGUUGUAAUAUAGUCAUUGUAUAAUACAAGUUAUAUAUAUGAUCUUGUGGAUUUAUAUAGUAGGUGAUGUAUAUGUUGCCUUUCAUGUACCUCCCUCAUGAAAAGAGUGUCCUCUUUCUCUCAUCUGUAUCAAAUCCUAAAUGCUAAUUACUUCAAAAUUAUCAUACAAGUUUCAUAUGUUUAGCCAUGUAUCUGUAAUGAAAAAAAUAAAAGGGUAUGUAUGUUCAACCAUGUAGCUGCAGUAAGAGGGAGAGAGUAAUCCUAUGAGAAUAUGUUUUCUUAUGUAUGCUUUUUUCAACUCAUAAUUGCAGUUCACUCUGAGGUUAUCAACUUUGUUCUUCUUGUAUCUCCUGGUUCAUAUUCCCUAAGGUUGAGUCUAAACAUUGUUCGAGAUUUUCAUGCCGGCUUUUUUAUAACUAACUUCUUUGUGAAAUAGUAGCUCAUCUGCUCGGUUUCUUUCCCAUGGCUGGGAAAAUGUCUUCUUUUUUUUCAUAUUGUUAGCCUUGACGAGGGAGAUUGUAUUUCUCCACAUGGUCCACACCUAUACAAGGGCAUUACUAGUAUUUCAAAUCACACACAAACGAGCUGCAUAUUUCCUUGUUCAUUCACUUCAUUAUCUGGAUUCUACAUCUUACAGAUGCUUGAAAGACACUAGUGGUACUACUAGUAUCAUUAUCGGCAUACAAUACUGUGUCAUAUAGUAUUGGAGGAACAACUUCAGCAUAACAAUUUACAUAUACUCGUAUACCCGGCAUGAACUAGAACCAGCUUUUAUAAACUUUAUGAACUCCCUUCGCUUAUGAUUCAAGGCUCAAGACCUUUUUGUUGUAGGCAACUGCACCAUUGUAUAUGGUACUCUAUACGAGUUCACAAAUGGAAAGAUAUUCCUAUAUGCUGCAUGGUGCAACAUGGCGUUCCUCAUAAGAGCUUCCAUCAGUUCUAAUACAAAAACAGUGUAAUCUGUACAUGUAUAAGGUGACAAAAUGUAUUUUAUUCUAAUUUUUUUUUUUUUGGUUUUUCAUAGGGUUAUACUACUCUGUUAUGUUUGUGGGAAAGCACCAUCAUCGACAAUUCAUCAAAGAUUUUGCAGCACGGUUAACAGGACUACAUAGUUUUUUGUUUGAAUAUAAUUAGAUGCAUCCUUUAUUUUAUUUUAUCUGAAUUUAACUUUCAAGUUCUAAUCAUUUCUCUCACUGUUUAAUUUCAUUUAAUUGGGAAGUAGCUAAUAACAACAACAGCAACAACAGUAAAUCAUAAUUCCUGUGUAACAUUAUCUAUACAAUUCUAUAGAGAAAGGAAACUUUGGUGUCUGUAAAAGCAACCUGCUUAGCUCACAAGGUAAAUAGGGGCACUUUACUGGUACUUCCAGUUGACAAAACAAAGUGGUAUCUGUCAACGCACAAUAUCGUUUUUUACAGUUCUGUACAUAUUUUUGUUAUGCUGGGAUUUUUGUACGCAGAUUUUUCACUUUGUCUUUGCUUUUUUGUUUCCGCUUCUAGCUUUCAAGUUCCGAGUAUUGUUGUAUAUACCCUUUUGUUUUUUGGGAAAUGGAGUCCUAGAUAUCCUUUAGAGGUUAGAGAUUUAACCUCUAGCCUUGGUCUAGAGAUUUAACAACCAUGACUACAUAAUAAUAGUGUAUAUUUUUCUCAAAAAAGAAAAGAAAAAAACAGAAAAAACCGGUCUAAAUAGCAGAAGGUUGAUUAGGUUCUCAAGAGACUUCUAUAGAGGUCUGAAAUUAUUGAGUUAACUUACUGUAUGAGACACAUCGCAAACAGUGACUAAUCCAUAAUACUCUGAAGUAUAGUAAAUUUUACACGGGAGAGUAAUCUUAUCUACUUUCACACACUCUAUGGUCUGUGCAGCUGUGCAUACAGCCACCAUUCUUGAGUGAAAAACAUAAAGCUCCAAUGAGCAAGUGAAGAACUUUGGAGGUAAACUCUCCUUUAUAGACACAUGCUUUGUUAUUUUUCAUUUGAAUGAGUUGGUUGUACUGUGAAAUUCUAACUAUUUUGUUUGAAUGAGUUUUGUGCUGAAUUACUUUUAAUUAAGUAAGAGCAGUGAACAGCAACAAAUUCGAAAGCAUAUAUAUGAUUCCUGGUGAAGAAAAAGCUUAUACAGUAACUUGGUGUCAUACACACUCUUGAACCAUUUCAGUAUUGUGAGAUAACGUAAACACACUAUUGUAUACACACUCUUCAUACAAUUCUAUAAAGAAAGGAGACUUUGGAGUCUAUAGAACAACCUAGAAAUGAGCUCACUCGUGUUCGAUCACUAGGAGCACUUACUUAAUGGUAUCUUUUUCUGCAAUUCUGCAUAUCUUCUUGUCCUGCAGGGGGAUUUCUCAUGUGCACAUUUUGCACUUUUGUUUGCUCCUGUGUCUAUGGAUCAAGUACCAUAAAAUAUCAAGGGUGUGAUGGAUUUGGGAGCAUCUCAUUAUCAAAAAGAAGCUUUAUAUACUAAAACUGAGUGGAAUUUAUGGUAGACCGACUGGUCUGAAUAUAAUUGAGACCAUUAUUGGCAAAAGAAAGCAGUUCUUGAGGUGAUUAUAACAUAGACUCAUACUCUCAUAGUCACUCAGCACUUGCCUUAUUUUAAAUGAAGUGGAAUUAUAGUAAGAUGUGAGAGUGAAACAUAUUGGAGCUAGAGACAAAGAACUAUAUAUUCGCACUAGUUAGAUAAUUUGCAGCUGAAAAUUGAUGUUAAAAGGAAGUCAGAGGGGAACAAUAUGCAAAUUAAUAGUAAUGCAGAUGGAAGAGCAAGAGAAAGUGGGAGGAGGCAGUAAGAGGGAUAGACUAAUCAAAGAGUCGAAACCCUACAUCCUGUGUAUAUUUUGCUGACAUCUUCAUCAUGACUGACAACUCUGAGAAAUACUUAUUAAGUUUUCUUGUGUUUCUCAUGGCAGGAAAAAUAAGAGCAAAAUCAACGUUUCGAUCUUGCGAAAUGUCUUUUUCUUAGGCCUGCUAGAGUGAGUGGACAAAACACUUCAUUUUUUAAUCACUGAAUAAGUUUUGAAAAAUGCAGAUUUGAAUUAACUUCAUUAGCUUGUGAAUCUCAGAGUGUUGGGAAGAACACUGUACUACAUGGGAUUGGAAUACACUUCACCAACUUUUGCUUCUGCUUUGUCGAACAUGAUUCCAUCUAUUACCUUUAUCUCAACUGUUUUGUGCAGGUAUUAGUAAUAGUAUAAUCUGGUAUGUGGUCAAUGAUACNNNNNNNNNNNNNNNNNNNNNNNNNNNNNNNNNNNNNNNNNNNNNNNNNNNNNNNNNNNNNNNNNNNNNNNNNNNNNNNNNNNNNNNNNNNNNNNNNNNNNNNNNNNNNNNNNNNNNNNNNNNNNNNNNNNNNNNNNNNNNNNNNNNNNNNNNNNNCUGGUGCAACAUUCAUGACCCUCUACAAAGGCAUUGCUGUAAUUACAACUCACACUAAAAGCUCCCAUCAAACUGCAGCUACCUCAAAAUCAUCCACAGAUGCAGACUGGAUAAAGGGCUCCCUUGUCCUUAUUGUUGCAUAUAGUUCAUUAGCAGCA
This 4468-nucleotide long non-coding RNA is filed under the name Fragaria vesca (wild strawberry). Its description in RNAcentral is "long non-coding RNA (FVES_LNC003417)". Lineage: Eukaryota; Viridiplantae; Streptophyta; Magnoliopsida; Rosales; Rosaceae. The record is from RNAcentral.